GGAAUUUUGGACAAUGGGCGAAAGCCUGAUCCAGCAAUGCCGCGUGUAUGAAGAAGGCCUUCGGGUUGUAAAGUACUUUCAGCGGGGAGGAAGGCGGUGAGGUUAAUAACCUCGCCGAUUGACGUUACCCGCAGAAGAAGCACCGGCUAACUCCGUGCCAGCAGCCGCGGUAAUACGGAGGGUGCAAGCGUUAAUCGGAAUUACUGGGCGUAAAGCGCACGCAGGCGGUCUGUCAAGUCGGAUGUGAAAUCCCCGGGCUCAACCUGGGAACUGCAUCCGAAACUGGCAGGCUUGAGUCUCGUAGAGGGGGGUAGAAUUCCAGGUGUAGCGGUGAAAUGCGUAGAGAUCUGGAGGAAUACCGGUGGCGAAGGCGGCCCCCUGGACGAAGACUGACGCUCAGGUGCGAAAGCGUGGGGAGCA
Molecule: ribosomal RNA, 420 nt
Filed under: uncultured bacterium
Lineage: Bacteria
Description: bacterial SSU rRNA
Rfam family: Bacterial small subunit ribosomal RNA
Source: RNAcentral